RNAcentral lists this RNase P RNA (462 nucleotides) under Nibribacter ruber. Its description in RNAcentral is "Nibribacter sp. BT10 RNase P RNA component class A". It matches the Rfam family "Bacterial RNase P class A". Rfam says of the family: Ribonuclease P (RNase P) is a ubiquitous endoribonuclease, found in archaea, bacteria and eukarya as well as chloroplasts and mitochondria. The record is from RNAcentral. Lineage: Bacteria; Pseudomonadati; Bacteroidota; Cytophagia; Cytophagales; Hymenobacteraceae.
UCGGCAAGCCGGCUUAUCGCUGCGUCUUCUUUUAGGCGGAGAGGAAAGUCCGGGCAACGCAGAGCAUCCUGCUUCCUAACGGGAAGGCAUUUGGCGGGAGACGGCCAAAUGACAGCCAGUGCCACAGAAAAUAACCGCCACUAAUUAAUUAGAAAUUAGAAAUUACUCAUCUGUGAAGACUCAUAAUUUUUAAUUUAUAAUUUCUAAUUAAUUGGUGGUAAGGGUGAAAAGGUGCGGUAAGAGCGCACCAGCGGCUAGGCGACUAGUCCGGCUGGGUAAACCUCAGGAGUUGAAAGACCAAAUAGGCUGGCAGCGCCUCGUUUUAGGACAAGGCUAAGGGCGGCUCGUCCGAUGUCAGUGGGUAGGUUGAUGGAGCCUUUCCGUGAGGACUGGCCUAGAUAAAUGAUAAGCCAUCUGUCUUCGGGCAGAGGACAAAACCCGGCUUACAGGCUUGCUGAUUUU